This 320-nucleotide unclassified non-coding RNA is filed under the name fungal sp. RNAcentral describes it as "partial internal transcribed spacer region". The stretch from base 1 to 46 matches the Rfam family "Eukaryotic small subunit ribosomal RNA", at positions 1786 to 1831 of the family's 1831-position model. Lineage: Eukaryota; Fungi. The record is from RNAcentral.
AAGUCGUAACAAGGUUUCCGUAGGUGAACCUGCGGAAGGAUCAUUACCAAUUCGAAUUGGUGUGCGUUGUGUGUGUGUUCCACACACCACCAAACGCACGCCAAACUCUACCAACCUUUGAUUGUGAACCAUGAGAUUCAAACACAUAGUCUUCCCGUUUUUUGCUUUGCAAAAAGCGGGGAGCAAUUUUAUCCAACCCCAAUUAUAUUCUUCACACACCACCACGCGUGUGUGUGGGGGGAACAAAAGCAAGCGUUGAGCUCCGAAAGGAAAAAACAGAAUGUCAUGUACAACUUUUAACGGCGGAUCUCUUGGCUCGU